Molecule: long non-coding RNA, 435 nt
Organism: Lolium perenne
Lineage: Eukaryota; Viridiplantae; Streptophyta; Magnoliopsida; Poales; Poaceae
Source: RefSeq, a predicted model, not a curated record
GAUGUAGUGGUCCAACGUGAGAGCAUGGUCGCCGCCCACGCCACCAUCCACUCCGCCGCUGCCCAUCCCGGCUCAAACCCCUUCCUCCACCUUAUUAUUCUAUGCUUCUCCACCAUGGCGCCACGGACAUCGAUAGACAUAUCAGCUUAGAGCUCAACGAACGAAUUAAUUGGGGAGAUAUCGAUGAAGGGUAAGUUCAAGAUCUAAUCCGGUCAAGCUCGUCUCUCCCGUCGCCUCCGCUCGGACAUCGCGCCUCCAGCCGGGAGCGGCAAGCCAGACAGCCGGCAAUCACGGUUUAGGAUUUAGAGAUUGGGCUGUGCUUGACUGGGUUUGGAGUUCUCUUCUCGUUUCUUGGGAUCAUCAUGCUGUUUGACAAGGGCUUCCUGCCAAUGGGGAAUAUUCUCUUCGCGUCUGGUGUUACACUAACCAUUGGGC